GACGAACGCUGGCGGCGUGCUUAACACAUGCAAGUCGAACGGAAAGGCCCUGCUUGCAGGGUACUCGAGUGGCGAACGGGUGAGUAACACGUGCGUGAUCUGCCCUGCUCUUCGGGAUAAGCUUGGGCAACUGGGUCUAAUACCGGAUAGGAACCAUCUUUAGUGUGGUGGUUGGAAAGUUUUUUCGGUGUUGGAUGAGUUCGCGGCCUAUCAGCUUGUUGGUGGGGUAAUGGCCUACCAAGACGGCGACUGGUAGCCGGCAUGAGAGGGUGUACGGCCACAUUGGUACUGAGAUACGGCGCAGAAGCCUAUGGGAGGCAGCAGGGGAGAAUAUGGCACAAUGGGCGCAAGCCUGAUGCAGCGACGCCGCGUGGGGGAUGAAGGCCUAUGGGUUGUAAACGACUUUCGCUAGGGACGAAGCUUUUUGUGACGUUACCAAGAUAAGAAGCACCGGUUACUUACGU
This 464-nucleotide ribosomal RNA is filed under the name uncultured bacterium. RNAcentral describes it as "partial 16S ribosomal RNA". It matches the Rfam family "Bacterial small subunit ribosomal RNA", at positions 28 to 506 of the family's 1533-position model. The record is from RNAcentral.